Molecule: ribosomal RNA, 377 nt
Filed under: uncultured bacterium
Lineage: Bacteria
Description: bacterial SSU rRNA
Rfam family: Bacterial small subunit ribosomal RNA
Source: RNAcentral
UAAUACGUAGGGGGCAAGCGUUGUCCGGAUUUAUUGGGCGUAAAGAGCGUGUAGGCGGCCAGAUAGGUCUGGUGUGAAAACUCGAGGCUCAACCUCGAGAGGUCACUGGAAACCAUUUGGCUAGAGUCCGGAAGAGGAGAGUGGAAUUCCUGGUGUAGCGGUGAAAUGCGCAGAUAUCAGGAAGAACACCUAUGGCGAAGGCAGCUCUCUGGGACGGUACUGACGCUGAGACGCGAAAGCGUGGGGAGCAAACAGGAUUAGAUACCCUGGUAGUCCACGCUGUAAACGAUGGGUGCUAGGUGUGGGUGGUGUCGACUCCAUCCGUGCCGAAGCUAACGCAUUAAGCACCCCGCCUGGGGAGUACGGCCGCAAGGCUA